UACGGGGGGGGGUAAGCGUUGUUCGGAAUUACUGGGCGUAAAGGGCUCGUAGGCGGCCAACUAAGUCAGACGUGAAAUCCCUCAGCUUAACUGGGGAACUGCGUCUGAUACUGGAUGGCUUGGAUUUGGGGAGAGGGAUGCGGAAUUCCAGGUGUAGCGGUGAAAUGCGUAGAUAUCUGGAGGAACACCGGUGGCGAAGGCGACUCUUUGGUCUGUAACUGACGCUGAGGCGCGAAAGCGUGGGGAGCAAACAGG
Molecule: ribosomal RNA, 255 nt
Filed under: uncultured bacterium
Lineage: Bacteria
Description: partial 16S ribosomal RNA
Rfam family: Bacterial small subunit ribosomal RNA
Source: RNAcentral